This 130-nucleotide transfer RNA is filed under the name Nanobdellota archaeon. RNAcentral describes it as "tRNA-OTHER". It matches the Rfam family "tRNA". From Rfam's summary of the family: Transfer RNA (tRNA) molecules are approximately 80 nucleotides in length. Their secondary structure includes four short double-helical elements and three loops (D, anti-codon, and T loops). Further hydrogen bonds mediate the characteristic L-shaped molecular structure. tRNAs have two regions of fundamental functional importance: the anti-codon, which is responsible for specific mRNA codon recognition, and the 3' end, to which the tRNAs corresponding amino acid is attached (by aminoacyl-tRNA synthetases). tRNAs cope with the degeneracy of the genetic code in two manners: having more than one tRNA (with a specific anti-codon) for a particular amino acid; and 'wobble' base-pairing, i.e. permitting non-standard base-pairing at the 3rd anti-codon position. The record is from RNAcentral. Lineage: Archaea; Nanobdellati; Nanobdellota.
GGGCCGGUAGCUCAGCUUGGUAGAGCAUCUGGGAAAAAAGGGAAAGAUCAUAGUCAUCCCAAAUUCGGUGAAACUUUUACCAAACGAGGAAGAAAUCAGGUGGUCGUGGGUUCAAAUCCCAUCCGGCCCG